Long non-coding RNA from Alligator mississippiensis (American alligator), 251 nucleotides. RefSeq lists it as uncharacterized. Lineage: Eukaryota; Metazoa; Chordata; Crocodylia; Alligatoridae. The record is from RefSeq and is a predicted model, not a curated record. The transcript is spliced from 2 exons.
AGAAUAUCUGUGCACAUCAGUGGAUUUGCACACGUUGGUGUGGAACUCCAUCUUGCCCACUCCUACAUCUGCCAGAUCCUUUGACAAAUGAAAAAUGGCUACUGGAGACAAGAAGGUAAAUUGUGUCCUAUGGCUAGCAGAACUGAAGUCCAUAUCAGCUGUGAGAAGAAAACGGUGGUUAUGUUGAAGUCUAAAAUUGUGUACUCUAGUUGUCCUAAAACUUGAAUAAAUUUGCUUUUAAAUGCCGUUUA